Mesoplodon densirostris (Blainville's beaked whale) is the source of this 13087-nucleotide long non-coding RNA. RefSeq lists it as uncharacterized. The transcript is spliced from 3 exons. NCBI's taxonomy places the organism in Eukaryota, Metazoa, Chordata, Mammalia, Artiodactyla, Ziphiidae. The record is from RefSeq and is a predicted model, not a curated record.
GGCAGGUCCAGGGGUGGGUGCAGUGAAGCAGGGGGGCCUUAGAAGCGACAGCUAGUGUCACACAGCUGCAGGAGGCACACGGCUCCCAGGGGAAGCCUUAGAAGGAAUAAGUGUCAUACAAGUUUAGUAUUUGCUCCUAUCGUGUAUGCACAAACGCCCGCAGCUCGUACUGGAAGCGGUAGUUUGUGUGGGGGAGCGAACAGCCACUUCAGUCCAGCUGCGUUGGAAGGCUCCGAGCUGCCAGGCGGCCAGAGAGGGACGGCGGCAGUAAAGCAGCAGCUCUGCAUUUCCGUCCACGCGCUUGGUACCGAGCGGGACGCUCGCUGUGUUUGGGACCGAGGGUGGCGACUUCCUGUCUGUGAUCUCCGGACCGCGAGGAAAGCCUGUCAGCCUGCUGGAGUGGCUCUUUCCCUUGGGAGCAAGCCUUUUGCUGAGGAGGAAGGAGACCCUUUUCUCCUGCCUGCCCCGCUGGGAGAGCAGGCCCCUGGCUCACGAGGCUUCUUUCUCCCAUGAGCACAGGUGGAACGAUUCCUUUUUUCCCGGUUCUGCUUGAAGGAGUUAGUUAGUCGGAUGACAGGAUUCAGAGGUUUUACCCACGGUCGGUGUCUGAGCUGUGGCUAAAAUGGUCUAAGUGGGCGGAGAGGAUGCCACAGGGAGAGGCGCCCUGGCCCGGAGCGAGGCUGUGGAGUAGCUCACUGGACGGGGAACAGCAACAGCGGGGCUCAGGGAUUAGUAAGUGCAGGGCGCUGACCACAGCCAGAUGAUGCUUGAGGCUGGGGACACAGCAGUGCCCAAAGCAGACCGAGUCGCGGGCCUCCGUGGACUGCGUCUUCUGUGGGAAGAGACACACGAGCCACGUAGGUGAUGAUAAUGAGACACACCAGGGAGAGAUGAAGCGGGAAGGGGCGGGAGUGUGGAUGCACCGGUCAGGGACAGUGUCCCCGUGGGACUUGAGGGAGUCGGCCCUGGAGGUGGCCUUGGGACCGCGCGGCCCAGGCGCCGAGGCAGGAGCCCGCUGGUGUCCCCGGGGGACCGCAGGAGGCCGAGACGGGGAGGCCGCCCAGAUGGCUGCAAGCUCGCCGUGGUGCAGGCUCACUGGCUGUCCCCCUGCUGAGCCGGGCUCCGCAAAGGGCUGUGAUGCUCUGGCUUUGGCUUUAAAACGUUAAAGUCAUGUGGAGAACAGUCAAGGAGACAAAGGCCGAGGACGCUGGCAAGGAGGCUGUGGCAAUGGCCCAGGUGUGAGAUGGUCAAACCGGGAGGUGGUGCUGAUAAGUGGUCGCUCUCCGGACGUAUUUGGGCUGAAUGUGGGCCGGGCCGGCCAGGACCAGCUCGAGAGGGUGGGUGGUGAGAAAUUCAGGAGCUCUGGCCCCAGAGGUUAAGCAUCAGGGCUUGAAUUCGUCCCGGGUGGGAGUAUUUACGCCACGGAAACGAGCAAACCCACAAAUCCAGGCGCUUUCCUCUCGGAGGGUGGGGCUCUUGGUCCGUCGUGGCGUGAGAGGGCAGGUGGCCGCCCAGGACCGCAGUCACCAGAGGGGUGAGGCCGCAGAGCCCACGGGUGCGGGGCUCAGAGGAUGCGGGUAGCUCGUCACGGGAUAAGCGCCCUUCCGUUCAGGUCGAUGCCACCCUUUCUCGUCCGGGAUGAAGAGCCAGCCCCGGUGCUGGGCCCGCUUGCCCUCUCCUUGACGCGCCAGCGAGAGCCGGACCGUAGUUCUCCCAGCAGGGCAGCCGGUGCAGCCGGCCCACGGGGGCAUCUCUACCAGCGCCCCCCCCCGCGCACAUUCUCACCCGCCUCUCGCCCUCCUCCAUCUGACCCCGUCCUCCCGAGGGCACCAGUGCAUCUAACGCUCCGCUCCCCGGCAUUGCAGAGAAUACCGCCCCGUGCCCCGCACAGCCCAGAGGGAGCGGUUUUGGCGCUGUCUGUGAUUUGACUCGGACGCAUCUGGUUUUCUCGGUUCACCCUCUUUGUCACCGUGACGCCAAGGUUAAGUUCUCGUCAGGCUGUACGGGCGAGCAGGCUUCAGCGUCCAGGACAGCCCCGCUGCCCGGUCGCACGGGCAGGGCUGCAGCAACUCGGCGCGCGCAACCUCCCUGUGGAGCUGACAGAAACACACUGGAAAUUCUACAAGAGCCGACUUUUCCGUGAAGUGUCCAGAACUUUCACCUGCUAGGCAGUCUGGCGCCAUCCAUGGGGCCUUUCCAGCCCGAGCAGGAGCUCAGAGGUGCAGAUCUGCAGGGAGGCGGCCAGGCCAGGAGCCGUGGGGUCCAGGCGCUGACCCCGUCUGGCCUUGACUCACUCGUGGACAGAAAAACCGUCUGAGGAUUUUGUGGGGAUCGGGUACUGUGGGCCCGUGAGCUGCCUUUUCGGGGAGCCCUGGCUGCUGGUCCUCCUCCCUCGAGGAGUGUUUGGGGAGGUGUGGGCACACUCUUGAUUUUCCUGAUGCUGGGAGAGUGUUACUGCCAUUAGGGGGUGGGCCGGGGUGGGGACACGGGGCCCUGCCCGCUGCUCCUUCAGCAGGGGCCCAGGCCCCCGCAGAGGGCGCAGGAGUGGGACCCUGUGCACCGGCGCGGCGACAACUCUGCAGCGAGGGAUGAGGACUGAAGGGUCCUGGCGCCUCCCCUGGUCUCUCGGGGGGAGGGGGGCUGUGCUUGGAUCUCUGGGUGGUCAUGGUCGGGCGGCUUAACCCCUCGGGCCUCCAUGACGGCUGCACAGCCAAGAGGUCGACACACGCUCCCGAGGCCCAGCCUGUUGGGGCUUCUGAGUGGAUGCAGGACGGAGGGCCAAGAAUCCUCUUGGUGGGGCGGGAGGUGGGGCAGCUGCGGGUUCUUGCGGAGCCGACUCCAGGGACUCUCGAGGGAGCCGGGGGCCGGGCAGCUGUGCCCUUGGUCCGGGGGACUGGCCCUCCGUGGGGUGGACGGCAGCCCCAGCGUUUGCGGGCAGGGAUUCCAGCUCGUCUGAGUGGACACUUGGGCCCCGGGAGGAAAUCUGCUCGAGCGUCUCGGGGGCCUGGGCUCUGCCGUGGCCUCCGAUGGUUCACGGGAGCGCUGAGCACGCUGAGCCCCGGCCGUCUCUGAGCUGCCCUGGGAGCCCUUCUGCCUGGCGUGCACCCGGGGUGAUGGUUUGCUCUGUGUCAGCGUGACUGGGCCCUGGGGCCCCAGGUACCCGGUCAAACCCUGUUCUGAGUGUUCCUGGGGGUGUGUGUGUUUGGAGAGGUUAACAUUUGAAUCCUUUGAGUAAGCAGAUGGCUCUUCCCGAGGGUGGACCUCGUCAAUCAGUAGAAAGAAUAGAACAGAGGGCCGGCCUCCCCCGAGCAAGAGAAAAUUCUCCUGCCUGGUGGCCUUUGGGUGUGGGGGGGUCUUCCCUUUCUUGUUCCCCAUUGGUUUCGGCCUGUGGACUUGCACUGGGACAUCAGCUGCCUGCUCUGCAGGUUUGGGACUCGCCAGCGACUGUAGUCACAUGAGCCAAUUGCUUAUAAUUAAUCUCUCUCGUUGUUAAUAUAUAUUAGUACCAGCAUCGACAUUGAUACAUGUAUUGAUACGUAGAGCAGAUGUAGGUGCAGACAGCCUCCUGGCUCGGUCUCCUCGAAUUCCCUGACGGAUACAGUGUUCCGCUAUCUCGCACGCGGGGGCCCCUUAGAGGGUGGGAGGCCGAUGUGUGAAGUCCGUGGAGCCCUCAGCCCGGAAUGGCAGAAGCUGUUUUCAGGGCUUCACAGAGGGAGUGAACUGCCAGCAGAAUAGAGUAACCGCCCCGGCAGUGCUGUGAGCGGCUGCAGGUGCCGUGCGCGGUCCACAGGGCCAAGUCCCCCUCCUCCCCGCGACAGGGGCGCGAUGAAGGCCACACCCCUCGGGUCGCCUUCCCUUGCUCGACAGAGAGGUCCUGGGUGGGGGGCAUGCAGGUUCAUCUGUGUGUGCAGGCUCGGGGCUUUUGAAAGAAAGAUUCUGGAAAAAUAUUUCGUGUUAUUGCCACUAUCAUUACUGAGUUUAAUUCCUUCUGUAUUUAAAGAAAAGAGGGCAUAGGAUUCAAUGAUGUACAUGUUUUUGGCAAAAGCACUUAAAACUUCCCCCUUAAAUUGAAACUAGCUUUCAAACUUCUCAGGUCAGAAUAUAAUUACUCUGGACAAAACCCCACUUGCUCUGCCUGACCCACCACCUCUUGAGUUAAGCCCGGCGAAUCUGGAGGUCGAUGCAGCUGCAGGAAAGGUCACCUGGAGCCGCUGGCCCCUUGCACUUAUGCAGAACCUGUCAUGCAGCCGGUAGCGAAGCUGCCUGCAGCCCGCGCACACGUAGAUCCCCCCACCCCAGUCAACGGCAGCGUCUCUCAGGCACCGCGUGACCAGAACACCACCCCACAGUCUCCUGGUUGAGAGAGGACAGGGAAGACUGUUUUCUCCAUUUCGAACUGAGAAGGUUUUUCCUCACAGCCAUCAAUUCUCUGAUUCUCUGACACCAGCUGGGCCAACAACUCAGUUCUGAUGCCAAUUCCUGUAGCGCGAGCAGACCCCACGGGUAGGGGCUCAGUCCCACCAGAGCCCCCAGUGCAGACACAGGUUCAAAGGUGGCGCCCAGGCCCCCUCACUUCUGCCUGGACGACUUCAGAUUUGGUGUUUCUGGCCACACUUGCCUCCUGAAAUUGCCCAGGGCCUCACCAGAGUCACCUCAUUAGCAUACAUUUAGCUUUGCUCCAAAGGGCCUUGUUAUGAAUAACGAAAGACGCUCCCAUCACUCAGGAAAUUCCAAGGGUUUUCAGAGCUCUGUGCCAGGAGCCUGGCAGGAGACCAGAUGUGUGUUUCCUAUUAUACACCCAAACGAAGGCCGUUUCCCUUGCCCAGCACUGGUCACGACAGAAUGAGGCCAGAGCCCUGGGGUGAGCAGGUCACUGCUCAGGGGAGGGGCUCUGGGGGGCCGUAAAUGGCUUCCUCACGUUUUCUCGUCCCGCAGAACGUAAGCUCUGUAUCUGCACUGACCAAUAAGAUUUCUGUGAAGAUGAAGUGUUCCUGUACGGCAGCCACUGACCACGUGUGGUCACUGAGCACUGGACGUGUGGCUGGUGCACUACGAUGUUAUUAUUUAUUAGGAUGACCGAUUUAUUUAAUUCCAAUCAGUUCAAGCCCCUGUAGCUCGUGGAUGUGUUAUAAAGCUCUACACACAGACCCUCUGGAAAUGACCAGAGACCUCACGGGGAGGGGACGGCUCCCCUGGGUCAGGACCAGCUCCAUGCCCCUCAUCUCUUACCUCCCUCCCUGGAACUGUAACCCAAAGUGAAGAGAUGCUGGCAUCCCUGGGCGUGCUAAGUGUUGGACCCAUCCAUCCACCCAUCCAUUUAUCCAUCCAUCCAUUUAUCCAUCCAUCCAUUUAUCCACCCAUCCAUUUAUCCAUCCAUCCAUCCAUUUAUCCACCCAUCCAUUUAUCCAUCCAUCCAUUUAUCCAUCCACCCAUUUAUCCACCCAUCCAUUUAUCCAUCCAUCCAUUUAUCCACCCAUCCAUUUAUCCACCCAUCCAUUUAUCCAUCCAUUCAUUUAUCCAUCCAUCCAUUUAUCCAUCCAUCCAUCCAUCCACCCAUCCAUCCAUCUUUGAUAUAUGGAUGGGUAAAUGGAUGGAUGGAUAAAUGGAUCCAUCUUUCAAAUAUUUCUUGAGCAUAUUCAACACUUGGUCACAUUCAGCACUUUUCCAGGUACGUGAAGAUUUUUAUUUAGAGUCACCAGCAAUUCUUGGUAUAGAUACAGAAUCAGAUUUUGUAUGAGAGCAGAGUUAAUUACUAACAUUAUGUGUACAAGUUCUCCUCCCCAAAGAGAUGCCAAUGGAGAGGGUGAGUCCAAGUGGGUGGAGGUAGGCGAGAAACAGGGUGAAGUGAUGACUCCAAGUGUUAAAUGUGUGAAGGGCCCUCCCUGAGCGAGGUGGCGGCUGCCUCCAGCGUGGAGUCCUGUACCUGCAGCCUGAGUAAUGAGGUUCUCUCUCCACAGAGGAAUGGGUGACUCUUGCCAAAGAGAGUGUGUCGGUGACGGAGGGCAGAUUUAAGGAGCCGAGUUGCUUCCCCCAAGUGGAAGCGUGGGUUAGAAGAGGCCGAGCAGGGGCCCUGGCGUGGAGUUCAGGAGGUGGACUGAGAUGGAAACCUCAGAGCAGUGAACACGGAGACAGAAGAAGCCGUCAGACAGAGUUGGGCCACAGCACCAAGUGAGGCGACAGGCAGCCCUGGCCGGGGUCCCCUCCCGUCGGAGGUGUUUCUCCAGGGAGGAGCGGCUCAGAGGUCAGAAGGAGGCGGGCCAGGUCUGGGAGGGCUGGGGGAGCAUUGCCCAGGGACUGUAUGGAGUAGGCACUUGCUGUGAGCCUGAGCCGGCUCCCCCCUGCCUGGCCGGGAACGGGGCCUUGUGGGGCGGGAACAGCUCUUCCCAGGAGGAGAGAAGCCGGAUGCAAGUGUAGCUGCACAUUUUGUUCUGUGUGGUGGCCAGCGCUGGCCCAGGUCUAAAUGCGUCGCGAGAAGGUGCUGGGUCAGGGCCCUUUGUGGGCGUCUUACUCUGUUCCUGCUGCUGCAGCAAGUUAGCGCAGACGGGGGUCUUGUAGACAGCAGAAACUUAUCGCUCGCAGCCUGGAGGCUGGACAUCCAUGGAUAGAUAUUACAUCUAAUGUACUAAAUACAUACACAGAGAUAUUUGUAAGUAUAUAUAAAAAAUAUAUAUAACAUUUGGAAUGGAAUACAUAUAUAUCUCCAAGCAAAAUGCACUUCUCUCUGUAUAAGAAAAAGAGUUGGGUGUAUGGGUGACUCUGCAACUCUGCACGCUGCCUGGAAAGGGUUUGUCUGGAGUGGAAUUCAUGGAUCCUUACAUUUGCAUAAAUUUUUUUGGUCUGAUUUUUUCUAAACCUUUACAAGUUUACAUAAGUAUUUUGAUCUAACUACCUUGAAGUCCCACUGUCAUCAGAAUGCCUGCAGUCCCAGCACCCCAUCCCAGGCCCCGAGGUAACUCCCCUCAGGCUGGGGAGCCCUCCUGUCCCUCCACCGCGUGCAGGCAGAGCUGGGGUGCGGAAGUGGGGGCAGGACGCAUCAGGCCUCGGGGCUGCGACCCCAGCAAGAGGGCUGGGCUUCAGUGCCCAGAUCUGGACGGAUGGCAAGGGCAGGGGCGGGGAGCCUGUGCGCGAGAGGUUGGGGUUUGGACCCACAGGCAGGUGGCGGCAGGUGUGCAGCUGAGCUCCCGGCUGGUGCUGGGCCCCAGCUCCUGGGAAACAGAUGGCCACAGGGAGGGGUCUCCGGGGGAGGAGGGGUCUGCAAGGGCAGAGGCUCAGUCUCUCCUGGGGGCCAGGUUCUCAGCCUCUGAUUCCUGACUUUCACAAUCAUGCUUCUUUUCUCACACGAAGGCUUUUCAAGUUGAUUUCCAUCCAAGAGGGAAUGAAGGCAAUUAAUGGUAAUUUAGCAAAAUGUUUAACUUCACGAGUGGGAGUGGGGUUUUCACGCUGGGGCUCCUGCUGGUUUCGGGGGUGGACUUCUGCCUGUCUGCACACACGCGCUUCUGGCCAGCCCACAGGUGCCUGCAGGACGAAACUUGUGCCUCGUUGAUAUUAACUGGGGGAGAAUGCCUGGCUCCUCAAGGAAUGUUUACUUGGGGGUCGGCUUGACUCUUUUUCCAGCAAACGGGGAAAUGGGGGAUGUGGGGUGGCCCAGGCAGCUGAGGUCGGGGACUCCUGAGGCUGCGGUCCAGGCCCUCUGCCAGCACAGGGUGGGGCUGCUUCCCGCUCCCAGGGAACCCAGGCCAGCGCUUUGUCAGCACCUGGUGGGGAAGAGCCAUUGAUUCGGCUCUGCCUCUGUGGGUGGCCUGUCCCACAGGGUCCUGUCCCAUCCACGGCCAAAGCCGAUGUGAGUAAAACACGCCAGCGUGGCUGUAGCAGAGGAGGCCAGGCGGCCUCUGGGGUCCCCGCCACAGCGUGGGACCAUGGCUUCCCGGGGUGGAGGUGGCCCCCUUCCCCGGCAUGGGGGCCUUGCCCUGGGCCUGGCCUGGACCUGCGCUUCUGGGAAGGGCCCUGUGAGGCCCGAGCAUUGACCGGCAGGGGAGCAUGAGGGCCAGGAGCCCCUUCCCCCGACAUGCUCGCUGUGGCUGGAAAUUCCUCUGGGGAAGAAUCCUUUCCAAGGAGCCCCGUUUGGAGCCCUCAGGCUUCCUCUGGUAACUGAUGAGACAUUGGUUACCGGAUCUGCCCCUCAGGGUUUGGAGUGUUCAUGAAAAGGUUUUAUUCUCAACCUUAAAAUUAUAAAACAGUCGCUAAUUUUGUUUCAGGAAGCUUAUGACUUUGAAGGAUGAAGAGUCUUUUCUAAGAGACGUGUGUCUGUGUGAUCUGAGCACGUUGUGAUCUUUCUGGACCUGAGAUCACACUUCUGUAAGGAAGUAGCCGUCCCAGAUCCCUGCUUAGAUAAACCGGGCCCUGCAGGAGAGAGGCUGACGGAGGGCCGCACAGAGUAUAAACGGCGGGGAUCAGGUGCUCUGAGAGCUUCGCUGACGAGGGUCGGGAGCCUGGAAAGAUGAGCAGCAAAGAAAACAAACAGAAAAAGCUCUGCUCUGGCUGGGCAGGAUUCACGCCUCCCCUCUGCGCUCGGUCUGUGUGGCCUCAGGGCAGGGCUGCACCUCUCUGAUCCUGAUGUCCAGGGCUGGCGGCUCAGGGUUGUCAGGGGGCUCAGAGCAGUUAUGAGGGUGUCGGGCUCACGGAAGGGGCCCCUACUUUUGCUAACGAGGUUUUCACCAGCCACAUCCUGGUUCGCAGCAGUUUGGGUGACCCUUCCCUUAAUGCAGGCUCAGUCCCGGCUCCGGAUCCGGAAGCGGAUCCUGGAAGGCAGUGGAGGGCAGUCUGGCUCGCAGGUCAGGGGGGACCACGGCCAUGGUCCUCAGUCCCAGGAGAAGCCCGUGACUGCACAACACUGUGAGAAACAAACAACCUGCUUCUUUUCUAUUGGCUCUGAAGUCUGUGUGGAUUUCGACAAAAGCACUAAAUUUGAAAAAAAAAAAAAGAGGCACAUUAUAUAUUUUCAGGGUUUCAAUGAUUUACGCAUUUUUUUUUAAAGGAUUUGAAAAAGGUUCUAUUUUAAGGUGACCUUGGUUGGCUUCAUCGUCUCAAAUGUUUCUGGUCUGAACGCAGCUUGAAAAACACAGCAUAGUCUGUAAAGCCUUCGGUGCCUGUUAGUCACCCCCCACCAACCUGGCCCGGAGCCCAGGACCCUGCAUCUCCCUCCCCUUGGCCUCCACAGCCGGCCUGGAGCUGCUGAGAAGUAUUUGAAGUUGCCUAGGUUACAGCUCCCAUACGACAGGACCGUUACAACAAGGGUAAAGAAGAAGCCAGAGGAUGGGAAGGAGGCCAUCGCCAUAACCGGAGGCACUUGCUGCUCUAAAGCCUGAACUCAACUUUGAAGCCGCCGGCAACCGGGGUAGAGAGAGAGAAAGUAACUGAAACACUGUGAGUCACGUGCUUUCCAACGUAUCAGGAAUAAAUACAAGGAGGCCAGUUUGAAUCUGGACUCGCGUCCUCUCAGCUCUGAGAGCAAUAGGCCACGCGUGUCUCUAUAUAGAGCAUGUUGAUCACGUCCCGUGUGAGUCUUCAUGGAGAUGAUACAGUGUUUCAGGGACUUUAUUCUUCAUAUAUCACUCUCUUACAUUUUCCUUUGUCCCAUUGAGAAGAGAUGAGUGUGACCCUGGGGCCACCUGAUGCGUGAGCACAGCCCUGCUCCCCACCCGCCGAUCUGCCCGGCACUGUCUGCUCCAUUGCUUCACGGAGCAGGGUCUGCGAUCGUCCCGACCUCUGACGGAGCUCCUCUGCUGUGUGGGAUGCACCCUGUGUUGCAGCACAUGAUCCCCAGAAGUGCAGCCCGUCAGCCACACCUGCACCGUGGGACCCACGAGUCCUGGCGCCCCCAACCUCGUGGUGCCAGCCCCAGGCAGGGGUGAGGCCGGGGGGCGUCUGUCCGGGCGGGGCGGCGGGAGAUCUGUUUGACGAGGGCACAGCCUGGCCCAUCCACGGUGCGACCACCAAGAGGGCUGACUUUCUCAAAAAGCUGUGAUUUAUGAGAAUUCAGAUUUCGGUGGUGAACUCUGCUCUUGUGGAUCCAGGGAUAGUGGGCUCACUUAUUUUUUUUUUCAAACGACAAAACCCGUUCUCUACUUUGAAGGGAUCCAGCCACCUGGUCCAAGGGAGCCGGUGAGCUGUUUUGAAUAAUUAAAAACACUCUGCGUGGUGUGAGCUGCCUGACCCCCUGGCUGUCUGCCUGUCCCCAGCGCCCCUUUUCUGACCAGGCCCGCAUGAGGACAGCGGCUCACCAAGCCCACGCGGACUUGCCUGCCCUCUGGGUUCCCUGGGUGGGUGGCUCACAAAGUCAGCUCUGUGCUCUGGAAACACCGCCGCUUCACUGAGGGGCUGAGGGGCUCCCUAAGGCAGCUGCUGGCCAUGCACCAGGCCUGCCAGGGAGGAGGGACGGGAGGCCGCGUGUGCAAGGCCCUGACCUUGAACCUCGGGUUUGGUCGGCUGUGACUGACCACUGUGGUUCAUGCCCGACACGGGCCUCCUGACGUGCCCUCCGGAAAUGGGACCCUGCUUCUGGGGAUGCCGCAGGGAGUGUGUGGGACUGGAUGCUUCGGUGAAGACAGCACCAGCCACAGGAAGGCUGACCUCCACAACCCCCAGGGUCUGCCUGAUGGCCAGGCCACCUCUAAAGCCAGCUGUCCCCUGAGACACGUGGGGUCUGCCGUGGGCGAGCGGCCUGCUCCCAGGGUCUCUCCAUGUGUCUGGAGCUGCUGCACCUUUGCAGAGGAAAGCCAUCCUCUAUACCAUCCCUGGCCAGCCCUUUCGAUAAAACUUUUACUGGGGUAAAUAUUUUAGGUUUUUCGAGCCAAGAGGCAACUUUGAGGAUAUUAUAUAACUGCUUAUAUAAGAUGAGAGAAAACAAAUGUCUACGAUUUUUUUAUUGACAAAAUUCAAAAUAUAAUCAUUGUGUACAAUAUUUUAUAAGAAGGUCUGCUAACGAGAAGAACAGAGUUCUUUUGUGGGAGGAUAACAUUUCACUUGAUGAGCUCACGGUCGGGGUUCUCUGUCACCAAAAUCGAUGGCACGUGUCCAUCUAUUUAUGCAGACCUGGGAUGAGAUUUCACAUAUUUGGCCUUUGAAAACGUCUUCUCACACAGUCACUGCCAAAUAUUGAUAUUAAUCCAUGAGCACAUGACUUUAAUUGAACAUAUUCAUUACUUGGAAUGCAUUUAUUGAAUUCAAUUAAGUUCUUCUCUUGAUUAUGCUUUUAUAUUGCAGAUUUAUCACUUCCUAUUGAAAUUGAGCGGAAGGCUCUCAGUUGCAUAGUUUAAUAGAUUUUUUAAAAAAUUAAUUCAUCAAUUAACUAAUUAAUUAAUUUUGGCUGUGUUGGGUCUUUGUUGCUGCACGCAGGCUUUCUCUACUUGUGGCGAGCGAGGGCUACUCUUCGUUGCAGUGCGCAGGCUUCUCUGCGGUGGCCUCUCUUGUUGCAGAGCAGGGGCUCUAAGCACGUGGGCUCCAGUAGCUGUGGCACAUGGGCUCAGCAUUUGUGGCACACGGUCCCUAGAGCACAGGCUCAGUAGUUGUGGCACACAGGGCUAGUUGCUCGCAGCACCGCAGCAUGUGGGAUCUUCCCGGACCAGGGCUCGAACCCGUGUCCCCUGCAUUGGCAGGCGGAUUCUUAACCACUGAGCCAACAAAGAAGCCCUAAUAGGUUUUUUAAAAGAAAAUUAUUUAAUGAAUAUUUUCAAACAUCACACAAAAAUAAAGAAAAUAAUAUAACAAACCAUAUUUAUCUAGAUUCUAAAUUGAUCAAAACUUUGCCAUGUUUCCUUCACUUAUCUUUUCCUUUCUUUUUCCUUUUCCUUUUCUUUUUAAAACAUUUGGGAGCAAAUCCCAAGCAUCAUGUCAUUUUAAUUCCUAUGUAUUUCAGUAUUCAUCUAUAAAAAAUAUGGCCCUUGUGUGGCUAUUCUUUUAAACCAGGAAUAACAGAAAUACUUUAAAUUAGAAAACAUAUUAUUUUCCUCUCUUGAUAUCAGUAAUGUGGAGAUUAAAGCAAGAUCACAGUAGUUAAGAAAUGAAUGAAGCUAUAUUUCCCUUGCAUAUCUGAGUGUAUAAAGAAUCAGUCCCGUUACCUUUAUAUGUCUUUUUAAAAAUAUUUUUUUAUUUUGAAAUAAUUAUAGAUUCACAGGAAGUUGCAUGGAAAUGUAGAGAUAUUUCCCGCACCCUUGAUCCAGCCUCCUCCGAUGCUAUCUUUAUGCAUAAAUACAGUACAACGUCAAACCCAGGAAGUCGUUGUGGGAACCAUCUGUGAAGCUUAUUCAGAUUUCAUUUGUUACAUACACACUUGCGUGUGGGUAUGUGUGUUUGGAUCUGUGCAAUUUGAUCAUGUGUGUAGCUUUGUGUAACCACCACCACAAUCAAGAUAUCAUCUUGUGUCAUCACUGCAAGGCUCUCUUGUGCUAUCCCAUGAUAGGCACAGCUACACGUCCAUUUCUAUCUCUAAUCCUUAGCGACCACCAUUCUCCCUCUCUGUAAUUAUUUCACAAAUUUUAUAUAAAUGGGUUCAUGCAAUAUGUAUUUUUUUGAGACUGGCUUUUUUUACUCAGCAUAAUGUCUUUGAGGUUCAUUCUAACUGAGUGGAUUAAUGGUUUGUUCUCUUUAUUGUGGAUCAGUAUCCCACAGUAUUGAUGUACUGCAGUUCAUUGAACCACUCAUCCAUUGAAGGAUAUUUGGAUAGUGUUGAGUUUUGGACUACUAUGAAUAAAGCUGCUAUGAUUAUUCACGUGCAAGUUUCUGUGUGAAAAUAAAUUUUCAUUGUUCUUGGAUACGUGCCCAAGAAUGCGCUUUGGGUCAUGUGGUAAUUUCACUUUUAAGUUCAAAAGGAACUGCCAACGUGUUUUCCAGAGUGGCCAUACCAUUUUACAUUCCCACCAACAAUGCAUCAGUGACCCAGGUUCUCUGUAUCUUUGCCAGCAUUUGAUGUUCACACCAUUUUUAUUGAGUCUUCUGAGAAGUAUGUAGUGAUAUCUCAUGUUUUUACUUUGCAUUUCUCUAGUGGUUAAUGGUGAUGAAAAACUUUUCAUGGGCCUAUUCACCAUCUGUA